RNAcentral lists this ribosomal RNA (119 nucleotides) under Pteropus alecto (black flying fox). Lineage: Eukaryota; Metazoa; Chordata; Mammalia; Chiroptera; Pteropodidae. The record is from RNAcentral.
GUCUACAGCCAUGCUACCCUGAAGGUGCCUGAUCUUGUCUGAUCUCGGAAGCUAAGCAGGGUCGGGCCUGGUUACUACUUGGAUGGGAGACCACCUAGGAAGACCAGAUGCUAUAGGCC